UUGAAACUCAAAGGAAUUGACGGGGACCCGCACAAGCGGUGGAGCAUGCGGUUUAAUUCGAAGCAACGCGAAGAACCUUACCAAAUCUUGACAUCCUUUGACCACUCUAGAGAUAGAGCUUUCCCCUUCGGGGGACAAAGUGACAGGUGGUGCAUGGUUGUCGUCAGCUCGUGUCGUGAGAUGUUGGGUUAAGUCCCGCAACGAGCGCAACCCUUAAGCUUAGUUGCCAUUAUUAAGUUGGGCACUCUAGGUUGACUGCCGGUGACAAACCGGAGGAAGGUGGGGAUGACGUCAAAUCAUCAUGCCCCUUAUGAUUUGGGCUACACACGUGCUACAAUGGACAAUACAAAGGGCAGCUAAACCGCGAGGUCAUGCAAAUCCCAUAAAGUUGUUCUCAGUUCGGAUUGUAGUCUGCAACUCGACUACAUGAAGCUGGAAUCGCUAGUAAUCGUAGAUCAGCACGCUACGGUGAAUACGUUCCCGGGUCUUGUACACACCGCCCGUCACACCACGAGAGUUUGUAACACCCGAAGCCGGUGGAGUAACCAUUUAUGGAGCUAGCCGUCGAAGGUGGGACAAAUGAUUGGGGUGAAGUCGUAACAAGGUAACC
RNAcentral lists this ribosomal RNA (610 nucleotides) under uncultured bacterium. Its description in RNAcentral is "bacterial SSU rRNA". It matches the Rfam family "Bacterial small subunit ribosomal RNA", at positions 894 to 1501 of the family's 1533-position model. The record is from RNAcentral.